This 763-nucleotide ribosomal RNA is filed under the name Curtobacterium sp. RNAcentral describes it as "bacterial SSU rRNA". It matches the Rfam family "Bacterial small subunit ribosomal RNA", at positions 56 to 830 of the family's 1533-position model. The record is from RNAcentral. Lineage: Bacteria; Bacillati; Actinomycetota; Actinomycetes; Micrococcales; Microbacteriaceae.
UGCAAGUCGAACGAUGAUGCCCAGCUUGCUGGGUGGAUUAGUGGCGAACGGGUGAGUAACACGUGAGUAACCUGCCCCUGACUCUGGGAUAAGCGUUGGAAACGACGUCUAAUACUGGAUACGACUGCCGGCCGCAUGGUCUGGUGGUGGAAAGAUUUUUUGGUUGGGGAUGGACUCGCGGCCUAUCAGCUUGUUGGUGAGGUAAUGGCUCACCAAGGCGACGACGGGUAGCCGGCCUGAGAGGGUGACCGGCCACACUGGGACUGAGACACGGCCCAGACUCCUACGGGAGGCAGCAGUGGGGAAUAUUGCACAAUGGGCGAAAGCCUGAUGCAGCAACGCCGCGUGAGGGAUGACGGCCUUCGGGUUGUAAACCUCUUUUUAGUAGGGAAGAAGCGAAAGUGACGGUACCUGCAGAAAAAGCACCGGCUAACUACGUGCCAGCAGCCGCGGUAAUACGUAGGGUGCAAGCGUUGUCCGGAAUUAUUGGGCGUAAAGAGCUCGUAGGCGGUUUGUCGCGUCUGCUGUGAAAUCCUGAGGCUCAACCUCGGGCGUGCAGUGGGUACGGGCAGACUAGAGUGCGGUAGGGGAGAUUGGAAUUCCUGGUGUAGCGGUGGAAUGCGCAGAUAUCAGGAGGAACACCGAUGGCGAAGGCAGAUCUCUGGGCCGUAACUGACGCUGAGGAGCGAAAGCGUGGGGAGCGAACAGGAUUAGAUACCCUGGUAGUCCACGCCGUAAACGUUGGGCGCUAGAUGUAGGGACC